Molecule: ribosomal RNA, 253 nt
Filed under: uncultured bacterium
Lineage: Bacteria
Description: partial 16S ribosomal RNA
Rfam family: Bacterial small subunit ribosomal RNA
Source: RNAcentral
UACGGGGGGGGCAAGCGUUAUCCGGAUUCACUGGGUUUAAAGGGUGCGUAGGUGGGCAGGUAAGUCAGUGGUGAAAGCCCCGGGCUCAACCUGGGAAUGGCGAUGGAUACUGGCUCGCUAGAGUGCGGUAGAGGAGAGUGGAAUUCCCGGUGUAGCAGUGAAAUGCGUAGAGAUCGGGAGGAACAUCAGUUGCGAAGGCGGCUCUCUGGACCAGCACUGACACUGAGGCACGAAAGCGUGGGGAGCAAACAGG